Leptopilina heterotoma is the source of this 416-nucleotide long non-coding RNA. RefSeq lists it as uncharacterized. The record is from RefSeq and is a predicted model, not a curated record. NCBI's taxonomy places the organism in Eukaryota, Metazoa, Arthropoda, Insecta, Hymenoptera, Figitidae. The transcript has 3 exons.
UUUCUCGCUUUUUAUUUUCUUUUCUUUGAUUUUCUUUUAUUUUGUCGCUUUUUAUUACAUUUUUGGUUACUUCGCGAUAAAUAACAUGGAACAAAUAAAUGCGAAACUUCAGAUUGAUUGGAAAACUAUUGAUUUGACCAAGCGAAAUAUUUGACGAGCGACAAUUUGAAUAUCCACCAAUUCGAUGGCCAGAAAUAAGGUGUUUGGAAUCUAUAAAACGUGUUGUCGUUUUUGACUGUGAGACAGUGAUCGUCGAUGGGAAAAAAGUAUCCAUGGGAGGCCAUAAGAUGCGCAACGUGGAGGGCCUCUGUAAAAAUUUCUGACAUACCAAAUAUUCAAAACGUACCUUGAUCAUCGAUGUCCAUGUUCUUCAUCAUCCAGAUUAUUAAGUCUGUUCCUAAUGUAGAAGAGAAAGA